UCCGAUUUGACAUCGGCAGUCCCCCUAGAGUCCCCGGCAUAACCCGCUGGCAACGUAGGACAAGGGUUGCGCUCGUUGCGCCACUUAAGGCAACACCUCACGGCACGAGCUGACGACAGCCAUGCACCACCUGUGCAGGCUCCGUAGAGCGCCGGCUUUCACCGGCUUUACCCUGCAUGUCAAGCCCAGGUAAGGUUCUUCGCGUCGCAUCGAAUUAAACCACAUGCUCCACCGCUUGUGCAGGCCCCCGUCAAUUUCUUUGAGUUUUAACCUUGCGGCCGUACUCCCCAGGCGGAUGACUUAAUGCGUUAGCUGCGCCACCGAAAGCCUAAGGCCCCCGACAGCUAGUCAUCAUCGUUUACGGCGUGGACUAC
RNAcentral lists this unclassified non-coding RNA (374 nucleotides) under uncultured bacterium. Its description in RNAcentral is "contains 16S-23S intergenic spacer region". The record is from RNAcentral.